UUGGAAUGGCGGGGUCCUAUACAUGCAGUCGAGCGAAUGGAUUAAGAGCUUGCUCUUAUGAAGUUAGCGGCGGACGGGUGAGUAACACGUGGGUAACCUGCCCAUAAGACUGGGAUAACUCCGGGAAACCGGGGCUAAUACCGGAUAACAUUUUGAACCGCAUGGUUCGAAAUUGAAAGGCGGCUUCGGCUGUCACUUAUGGAUGGACCCGCGUCGCAUUAGCUAGUUGGUGAGGUAACGGCUCACCAAGGCAACGAUGCGUAGCCGACCUGAGAGGGUGAUCGGCCACACUGGGACUGAGACACGGCCCAGACUCCUACGGGAGGCAGCAGUAGGGAAUCUUCCGCAAUGGACGAAAGUCUGACGGAGCAACGCCGCGUGAGUGAUGAAGGCUUUCGGGUCGUAAAACUCUGUUGUUAGGGAAGAACAAGUGCUAGUUGAAUAAGCUGGCACCUUGACGGUACCUAACCAGAAAGCCACGGCUAACUACGUGCCAGCAGCCGCGGUAAUACGUAGGUGGCAAGCGUUAUCCGGAAUUAUUGGGCGUAAAGCGCGCGCAGGUGGUUUCUUAAGUCUGAUGUGAAAGCCCACGGCUCAACCGUGGAGGGUCAUUGGAAACUGGGAGACUUGAGUGCAGAAGAGGAAAGUGGAAUUCCAUGUGUAGCGGUGAAAUGCGUAGAGAUAUGGAGGAACACCAGUGGCGAAGGCGACUUUCUGGUCUGUAACUGACACUGAGGCGCGCAAGCGUGAGGAGCACACAGGAUUAAAUACCCUGGUACUCCACGCCGUACACCAAUGAGUGCUAAACCA
RNAcentral lists this ribosomal RNA (810 nucleotides) under Bacillus anthracis (anthrax bacterium). RNAcentral describes it as "bacterial SSU rRNA". It matches the Rfam family "Bacterial small subunit ribosomal RNA", at positions 36 to 823 of the family's 1533-position model. The record is from RNAcentral. Lineage: Bacteria; Bacillati; Bacillota; Bacilli; Caryophanales; Bacillaceae.